This 434-nucleotide ribosomal RNA is filed under the name uncultured Fibrobacter sp. RNAcentral describes it as "partial 16S ribosomal RNA". It matches the Rfam family "Bacterial small subunit ribosomal RNA", at positions 341 to 792 of the family's 1533-position model. The record is from RNAcentral. Lineage: Bacteria; Pseudomonadati; Fibrobacterota; Fibrobacteria; Fibrobacterales; Fibrobacteraceae.
ACGGAAGGCAGCAGUGGGGAAUAUUGCACAAUGGGCGCAAGCCUGAUGCAGCGAUGCCGCGUGAGGGAAGAAGGUUUUCGGAUUGUAAACCUCUGUCAAUAGGGACGAAACAGACGGUACCUAUGAAGGAAGCACCGGCAAACUUCGUGCCAGCAGCCGCGGUAAUACGAGGGGUGCAAGCGUUGUUCGGAAUCACUGGGCGUAAAGGGAGCGCAGGCGGAGAUGCAAGCAGUCUGUACAAUACCGGGGCCCAACCCCGGACCUGCAGACUGGACUGUUUCUCUUGGAUAGCUCAGGGGCUGGCGGAAUUCCUGGUGUCGCGGUGGAAUGCGUAGAGAUCAGGAAGAGCACCGAUGGCGAAGGCAGCCAGCUGGGGGCUUAUCGACGCUCAUGCUCGAAAGUGCGGGUAGCAAACAGGAUUAGAUACCCUGGUA